GAUGAAGAACGUAGCGAAAUGCGAUAAGUAACGUGAAUUGCAGAAUUCAGUGAAUCAUCGAAUCUUUGAACGCACAUUGCGCCCACUAGUAUUCUGGUGGGCAUGCCUGUUCGAGCGUCAUUUCAACCCUCAAGCCUGGCUUGGUGUUGGGGCUCUGCGCCUGCAGUCCCUUAAAUCCAGUGGCGGACACGCUAGGUCUCCGAGCGCAGUAGUUUCUUCUCGCUCAGGGCGUCCGGCGUGGGCUUGCCUCGCACCCAUCUUAUCAAGGUUGACCUCGGAUCAGGUAGGAAUACCCGCUGAACUUAAGCAUAUCAAUAAGCGGAGGA
Molecule: unclassified non-coding RNA, 326 nt
Filed under: soil metagenome
Description: partial contains 5.8S ribosomal RNA, internal transcribed spacer 2, and large subunit ribosomal RNA
Rfam family: 5.8S ribosomal RNA (bases 1-120)
Source: RNAcentral